Ceratitis capitata (Mediterranean fruit fly) is the source of this 518-nucleotide long non-coding RNA. RefSeq lists it as uncharacterized. The record is from RefSeq and is a predicted model, not a curated record. Lineage: Eukaryota; Metazoa; Arthropoda; Insecta; Diptera; Tephritidae. The transcript is spliced from 2 exons.
AUGAAGUAUUGUUAGUAUAAAAUAAAAAAUAAAGAAAUAAACAAGUCUCUUUUCUAACUAUUUCAUUCAAGGGGCCAGAACGACCACUUAAGUUCGCGAAAAGAACAGCAAUUUAUUUCGUCUAGGUGAGACUCACUGAGUCAGCCAGCUUAACCUAACCCAAACCAACCACUGAAGUGAUUUUCGGCCGAGCUCGUCCCAAAGCUUGAGAUAUUGGUCAGACGAGGACUCGAAUGCUGGCUUCCAAAUGGCAACACGCAAUGCUAAUCUCCUCAUCAAAUUUCUUAUGGAAGGGAUCGAACUAACGGAUCCUCCGGCGAGUGCUCCACCAAUGCGCCAACAACAACCAUGUAAUCUGUUGUUGUAUUAUUUAAUUCAUUAUUCACCAACAACUAUAUAUAUGUAUAAUUGGCGCUUUGUAACCGCUGAAGCGAUUUUCGGCCGAGCUCCUCCUCCAAUUUGUGGUUUUGCGUCUUGAAGUUUUUUCAACAAAUAGAGGGACCUACAAUUUAUACUAA